This 527-nucleotide long non-coding RNA is filed under the name Parus major (Great Tit). RNAcentral's name for it is "lncRNA (ENSPMJG00000016423.1)". Lineage: Eukaryota; Metazoa; Chordata; Aves; Passeriformes; Paridae. The record is from RNAcentral.
CAGUUUGGGUGCUCUUCCUGCUUCACUACAGCGUGCUGUCUAACUUGAAUAAACUGAGACUUUUGAAGCAGUUUGCCUCACAUGCUGUGAAGAGGGCACAAGUUAGAUACACAGAAUCACUGAGGUAGGUACAGACCUCUGGAGAAGUCCUGGUUCAGCCUCCUGCUCAGUCCAGGGCCAACUCUGAAGCUGCAUCUAACUUCACGGUAAGAUAAGGAUACUCAGGCCUAAAUGUAAGAAAACAAGUUUGAAAGACCACUGAGGAAAGUAACGACUUCAGGUAUAGGCACCCAACAGAAGAGAUCUGGACUGUGUAAACCCAAGGCCAAGAAAGAGGAAGAAACACAUUUUCAUGCAGUAUAAGGUAACAAACAUGACCAUAUUCCAGCAUAUACCUUGUUAGACCUUCUGGGAGUCUGAAGCAGCAAGACAUGACAUCCUAAUUUCAACCACUGUGAGAUGGAAGCCAUUCACAUUGAGACUGCAUGUUCCUGUUUUGGAACAGAUGGAGUGAGUAACAGUGAAUA